GGUGCUUGCAUCAUGAUUUACAUUUGAGUGAGUGGCGAACUGGUGAGUAACACGUGGGAAACCUGCCCAGAAGCGGGGGAUAACACCUGGAAACAGAUGCUAAUACCGCAUAACAACUUGGACCGCAUGGUCCGAGUUUGAAAGAUGGCUUCGGCUAUCACUUUUGGAUGGUCCCGCGGCGUAUUAGCUAGAUGGUGGGGUAACGGCUCACCAUGGCAAUGAUACGUAGCCGACCUGAGAGGGUAAUCGGCCACAUUGGGACUGAGACACGGCCCAAACUCCUACGGGAGGCAGCAGUAGGGAAUCUUCCACAAUGGACGAAAGUCUGAUGGAGCAACGCCGCGUGAGUGAAGAAGGGUUUCGGCUCGUAAAACUCUGUUGUUAAAGAAGAACAUAUCUGAGAGUAACUGUUCAGGUAUUGACGGUAUUUAACCAGAAAGCCACGGCUAACUACGUGCCAGCAGCCGCGGUAAUACGUAGGUGGCAAGCGUUGUCCGGAUUUAUUGGGCGUAAAGCGAGCGCAGGCGGUUUUUUAAGUCUGAUGUGAAAGCCUUCGGCUCAACCGAAGAAGUGCAUCGGAAACUGGGAAACUUGAGUGCAGAAGAGGACAGUGGAACUCCAUGUGUAGCGGUGAAAUGCGUAGAUAUAUGGAAGAACACCAGUGGCGAAGGCGGCUGUCUGGUCUGUAACUGACGCUGAGGCUCGAAAGUAUGGGUAGCAAACAGGAUUAGAUACCCUGGUAGUCCAUACCGUAAACGAUGAAUGCUAAGUGUUGGAGGGUUUCCGCCCUUCAGUGCUGCAGCUAACGCAUUAAGCAUUCCGCCUGGGGAGUACGGCCGCAAGGCUGAAACUCAAAGGAAUUGACGGGGGCCCGCACAAACGGUGGAGCAUGUGGUUUAAUUCGAAGCUACGCGAAGAACCUUACCAGGUCUUGACAUACUAUGCAAAUCUAAGAAAUUAGACGUUCCCUUCGGGGACUUGGAUACAGGUGGUGCAUG
This 998-nucleotide ribosomal RNA is filed under the name Lactiplantibacillus plantarum. Its description in RNAcentral is "bacterial SSU rRNA". It matches the Rfam family "Bacterial small subunit ribosomal RNA", at positions 64 to 1047 of the family's 1533-position model. Lineage: Bacteria; Bacillati; Bacillota; Bacilli; Lactobacillales; Lactobacillaceae. The record is from RNAcentral.